GGCAGUGUAGCAUAGGGGUAGAGAACAGGGCUUGUAACCAAAAGGUUGCUGGUUCAAUUCCUCGUUAGGCCACUGCUG
Megalops atlanticus (tarpon) is the source of this 78-nucleotide non-coding RNA. Lineage: Eukaryota; Metazoa; Chordata; Actinopteri; Elopiformes; Megalopidae. The record is from the annotation of a GenBank genome assembly.